Non-coding RNA from Gasterosteus aculeatus aculeatus (three-spined stickleback), 1437 nucleotides. The record is from RefSeq and is a predicted model, not a curated record. Lineage: Eukaryota; Metazoa; Chordata; Actinopteri; Perciformes; Gasterosteidae.
AGUUCAGUUGCCCACAUGGUGUUCGGCCAGAUACUGCAAUUUUUCCUUGCGGAACACAAAUGAAAUAGAAAAGAGGAAAAAAGUGCAAUGGUGAGAAAAUUGAUUGAGCCGCCGCUUCUUUAUUGCAUUUUGUGAGCUGGUUCUAGAAGCUCUGAGUUCUGUGGACGCUAGACUUAAAAGUAUCCCGGGAUGUCCUCUGACGAUUCUGUCUUCUGAGUAGCUUAGCAGCAUAAUAUUUAAUAACCCCUGAGUAAACACUGGAAGGAAUUGCUCAAUAAAUAAUUGAACAGAAAUUUAUAAAUUAUUUCCCCUCUUAAUCUACUCCAGUGCACUGCUGCAGGUCCCCCCCCCAGAAGUGAUGCUCAUCCCUCUGGACUGUCAGCGGGUCUGGCUUGUUACCUCAUGGGGGCGCUCUGGAUGUACUAAAGAAACCAUCCUCAACACUAGCCGUUUUUUUCUUUAAAAAAAAAAAUUGAACAGGGUCCAAACAGUGGAGGAAGCAGGAGAUGCUGACACAAUGUACGGCAGGGAGGACGAGGGGAGGCAUGGCAGAUCCUCCCUCCAUCACUCAUCACCGGAGAAAAUGAGGAAGACUUGGACACAAAGACGUGAGGCGUGAAGAGAAGAGGAGAGCAGCCGUGCAGAUAAUUAUCAGGGUGUUAUCCCGACACAAUGGAGCUGACGGACAGAGUCUCAUCUCGUCGGCUGCAGGAGGAUGAUGAAUCACUGGCCGCAGCACGUCUGCCAAACGUAGAAAAAUAGAUGCUAUUUAAGUCAUGAAUGCAAUUUUGCCUGCGAUCCAUUUACUCACCUACAUUCUCCUGUGAUUACACUAAAACACACACGUUUUUUCCCGCUUAAUCGAGUUGUUGGAAUUAUUGUGUGCUAACCUCCAGUAGCCCAUUCCUUCACACGUACACACACACAUACACACAGCACAGAGCCCGUGUUGUGAUUUAAAUGGUCGCAGGGCACUGAGCUCCUGUUUGCUUCACCUAUUCCCGGGGUGUUUGUUUGGCUUCAUGCAUACUGUGCUGUAAUAGAGCACAGUGAGGCUUCAAAAGCGGUCUGUUAACACACACACCAGACUGCCCUGUAAAAAACACAGGCUCUCUGAGCGGCUACAUGCAAUAUUCACUUGCUGUACAUGCAGCCAUUUUUGCGUAGGUGUGGACAGACAAGAAGAAAGAUGGAACAUUUUUUAUAGCCAUCAAGUUGCCCAUUAAGACUCUUGGGCAUUUUGAAUUAGUUCUGAUUCUUUUUACAAGCUCCCUGUAACGUCAGAUUUGGAAGGAAAAGAAGGUGAGAGAAAUAGAUGGAGGAAAAAGGACAAUAAGACAACCCUUCCCUGUUGAAAAUCUGUUCUUUUUUUUUGUCGACUGCUGGACAAUGAGAUUUUUCAAGUGCAGCUGUGCUUCCCAAUUAAACAGCCUGUUC